Molecule: long non-coding RNA, 590 nt
Filed under: Ananas comosus (pineapple)
Lineage: Eukaryota; Viridiplantae; Streptophyta; Magnoliopsida; Poales; Bromeliaceae
Description: long non-coding RNA (ACOM_LNC004680)
Source: RNAcentral
AGCAUUUCCCAAUAUAUAUUUAUGAACUAGGCUACUAUGCGUAACAGCACCAAAUUAUUUGUACUAUUAAAUUUUCGGCCGAUAAAGAAAGAGAUGCACGGUUAGAAUGACAGCAAGCUUCUAAAAUUAAGUGGGUGGUUGGUUGAAUAGUAUGAUCUAACCCGUGAAUAUGAUGAAAAUAAGGACAGAUCUAACUGUGAAAAAAUUGAUAGCAUAAAACGCUUGAUGCUAUUAAUAGCAUAGUAGCCGGACUCUAUCUCUAUAUAUAUAGAGAGAGAAAGAGAGGAGAGCUAUUAUGCUAUCGGACGUAUAGAAAAUCUGAUAUUUUAGGUUUUUUGGCUCUUAGAUCAAAUCCCUUUAAUCAUUUCUAAUCUCUGAAUUAAUACGAACCACUCAAUCCUAGAGAUACUAUUCAACUCUAAGAGAACCGCAAUCAUCUUAACCGUACAAUUCUUAAUUUAAGGGUCAAAAAAUCGAAAGCACCGGAUUCUCUAUACUUCCGAUAGCAUAGUAGCUCUACAUUAUAUAUAUAUAUUUCGUGAUACAUAAUUAUUAGGCUAAUGAGUCCAAAAAGGCAUUUUAGAUUCGGU